CCUACGGGUGGCAGCAGUCGAGAAUCAUUCACAAUGGGGGAAACCCUGAUGGUGCGACGCCGCGUGGGGGAAUGAAGGUCUUCGGAUUGUAAACCCCUGUCAUGUGGGAGCAAAUUAAAAAGAUAGUACCACAAGAGGAAGAGACGGCUAACUCUGUGCCAGCAGCAGCGGUAAUACAGAGGUCUCAAGCGUUGUUCGGAAUCACUGGGCGUAAAGCGUGCGUAGGCUGUUUCGUAAGUCGUGUGUGAAAGGCGCGGGCUCAACCCGCGGACGGCACAUGAUCCUGCGAGACUAGAGUGAUGGAGGGGGAACCGGAAGUCUCGGUGUAGCAGUGAAAUGCGUAGAUAUCGAGAGGAACACUAGUGGCGAAGGCGGGUUCCUGGACAGUAACUGACGCUGAGGCACGAAGGCCAGGGGAGCGAAAGGGAUUAGAUACCCCUGUAGUC
This 446-nucleotide ribosomal RNA is filed under the name uncultured bacterium. Its description in RNAcentral is "partial 16S ribosomal RNA". It matches the Rfam family "Bacterial small subunit ribosomal RNA", at positions 338 to 795 of the family's 1533-position model. The record is from RNAcentral.